AGGGAUUGCCUCAGUAACGGCGAGUGAAGCGGCAACAGCUCAAAUUUGAAAUCUGGCUCCUUCGGGGCCCGAGUUGUAAUUUGCAGAGGAUGCGUCGGGUACGGGUGCCUUCCGAGUUCCCUGGAACGGGACGCCAUAGAGGGUGAGAGCCCCGUCUGGUAGGACACCCAGCCCGUGUGACGCUCCCUCGACGAGUCGAGUAGUUUGGGAAUGCUGCUCUAACGGGAGGUAUACUCCUUCCAAGGCUAAAUACCGGCUGGAGACCGAUAGCGCACAAGUAGAGUGAUCGAAAGAUGAAAAGCACUUUGAAAAGAGAGUCAAACAGCACGUGAAAUUGUUAAAAGGGAAGCGCUCGCUACCAGACUUGGGUUCGGCGGUUCAACCGGGGCCACGCCCCGGGGCAUUCCGCCGGCCCAGGCCAGCAUCAGCUUUCCGUCGGGGGUAAAGGCGUCGGGAAUGUGGCUCCCCUUCGGGGGAGUGUUAUAGCCCGUCGUGUCAUACCCUUCGGGGGGCUGAGGUACGCGCUUCUGCAAGGAUGCUGGCGUAAUGGUAGCUAGUGACCCGUCUUG
This 569-nucleotide ribosomal RNA is filed under the name Plectosphaerella cucumerina. RNAcentral describes it as "eukaryotic LSU rRNA". It matches the Rfam family "Eukaryotic large subunit ribosomal RNA", at positions 70 to 656 of the family's 3401-position model. The record is from RNAcentral. Lineage: Eukaryota; Fungi; Ascomycota; Sordariomycetes; Glomerellales; Plectosphaerellaceae.